This 402-nucleotide unclassified non-coding RNA is filed under the name Zea mays. RNAcentral's name for it is "misc RNA Zm00001eb237420". The record is from RNAcentral. Lineage: Eukaryota; Viridiplantae; Streptophyta; Magnoliopsida; Poales; Poaceae.
CUGGAUCUUGGGCAGCACUGGUCGGUCGACGACCACCCUGUGCUCGUCGACCUAGAUCUUGGGCAACACCCAGUCCACCAGCGCCAAGUCCUGCCGCUCCUUGCCAACGCCCACGAGCCUCAUCCUGGCGCGGUGCAGCACACGAGGUCACGAGUGCCCCCCGUGGCGCACGCGUCCGGUGGUGCGAGGAGGAGGGAGAGGCCAAAGUCGCCGAGGCACGCCCGCAUGUCGUCCUCCACAAAGAUGAUGGACGAGGUGACGUCGCUGUGCACCGCGGUAGGCUUCAUGCCAAAGAGGAGGUUCUCGAGCGCCGCCAUGAUCUGGGCGACCAUCACGAGGCGGGUCUGCCUAGGGAGCGGCGGCACAGCGGCGCUGAGCAUGCUGUUGGGGACGAAGUCGUAG